Non-coding RNA from Chelonoidis abingdonii (Abingdon island giant tortoise), 697 nucleotides. Lineage: Eukaryota; Metazoa; Chordata; Testudines; Testudinidae. The record is from RefSeq and is a predicted model, not a curated record.
GUCCCUGGAGAAGUCAUCAACACUUUGUGUGGAUACAAGACCCUUGAAAAAGAGCGACUGCAACUGGUUGACAUUAUCCAUGUGCGAGGCUGUAUCCAUGCAGUUGGCCUGUGGUUUAAAGACAACUUUGAAGUCACUUUUGGGAUAGUUUGUACCUUACUGCUUCCACAGGUACUUGGCCUGUUUAUGGCCAGGUUAUAUUGGCGAAAGCUUGACGACAUAUACUACAGAUGGGACACUGUUGAUUUCAAGGCACUUGAGGUGAUAGACUUCAAAACAGUGGACUUCACAGGUGCUGGCUGGUGUUUGUGUUUUCCGAGAGAAGGAGGCUACAUUCCUGUCAAUGUCACAGACGAUGACGAUGACGAAGAGGUUAUCGGUCAAAGUAAAGUGUGAAAAGGUACCAGUAUCCUCAUCGUGGCAGUUCAUAGCACAGCGCACCUGAAGGUACAGACUAGAGAAUGUGUGAUGGACCUUAAGUAGGGAAAUAACUAGAUAUCACACCCAAUCGUGCUUCAUCCUCAGAUUCAUGGGAUAUCUUAGCAGGAAUUCUAAAAUAACUUAAUAUGGAUACAUGAGUAAGAAUCAACACACCCUGAAGACACACAAAAGCUCCAUAGUUUACAUGCACUGUCUUGGCAACCCCAAGUAUUUGUAUAUAUCUCCUUUUUACAAAAUAAAUGUAACUUUUUUUUUU